This 262-nucleotide ribosomal RNA is filed under the name uncultured bacterium. RNAcentral's name for it is "partial 16S ribosomal RNA". It matches the Rfam family "Bacterial small subunit ribosomal RNA", at positions 99 to 353 of the family's 1533-position model. The record is from RNAcentral.
CGAACGGGUGAGUAACGCGUGGGGAAUCUGCCUUUGAGCGGGGGACAACAUUUGGAAACGAAUGCUAAUACCGCAUAAAAACUUUAAAACACAAGUUUUAAGUUUGAAAGAUGCAAUUGCAUCACUCAAAGAUGAUCCCGCGUUGUAUUAGCUAGUUGGUGAGGUAAAGGCUCACCAAGGCGAUGAUACAUAGCCGACCUGAGAGGGUGAUCGGCCACAUUGGGACUGAGACACGGCCCAAACUCCUACGGGAGGCAGCAUG